UACGGGGGGGGCAAGCGUUGUUCGGAAUUACUGGGCGUAAAGGGCUCGUAGGCGGUCAACUAAGUCGGACGUGAAAUCCCUCGGCUUAACCGGGGAACUGCGUCCGAUACUGGAUGGCUUGAGUUUGGGAGAGGGAUGCGGAAUUCCAGGUGUAGCGGUGAAAUGCGUAGAUAUCUGGAAGAACACCGGUGGCGAAGGCGGCAUCCUGGACCAACACUGACACUGAGGAGCGAAAGCCAGGGGAGCAAACGGG
This 253-nucleotide ribosomal RNA is filed under the name uncultured bacterium. RNAcentral describes it as "partial 16S ribosomal RNA". It matches the Rfam family "Bacterial small subunit ribosomal RNA", at positions 524 to 776 of the family's 1533-position model. The record is from RNAcentral.